ACUCCUACGGGAGGCAGCAGUGGGGAAUAUUGCACAAUGGGGGAAACCCUGAUGCAGCCAUGCCGCGUGUGUGAAGAAGGCCUUCGGGUUGUAAAGCACUUUCAGUAGGGAGGAAGGUAGUGUAGUUAACACCUGCAUUAUUUGACGUUACCUACAGAAGAAGCACCGGCUAACUCCGUGCCAGCAGCCGCGGUAAGUACGGAGGGUGCGAGCGUUAAUCGGAAUUACUGGGCGUAAAGCGCAUGCAGGCGGCCUGUUAAGUCAGAUGUGAAAGCCCGGGGCUUAACCUCGGAAUUGCAUUUGAAACUGGCAGGCUAGAGUCUUGUAGAGGGGUUAGAAUUUCAGGUGUAGCGGUGAAAUGCGUAGAGAUCUGAAGGAAUACCAGUGGCGAAGGCGGCCCCUGGACAAAGACUGACGCUCAGAUGCGAAAGCGUGGGAGCAAACAGGAUUAGAUACCCCUGGUAGCGACUGA
RNAcentral lists this ribosomal RNA (472 nucleotides) under uncultured bacterium. RNAcentral's name for it is "bacterial SSU rRNA". It matches the Rfam family "Bacterial small subunit ribosomal RNA", at positions 335 to 803 of the family's 1533-position model. The record is from RNAcentral.